RNAcentral lists this ribosomal RNA (1271 nucleotides) under Enterococcus faecalis. Its description in RNAcentral is "bacterial SSU rRNA". It matches the Rfam family "Bacterial small subunit ribosomal RNA", at positions 98 to 1351 of the family's 1533-position model. The record is from RNAcentral. Lineage: Bacteria; Bacillati; Bacillota; Bacilli; Lactobacillales; Enterococcaceae.
GCGGACGGGUGAGUAACACGUGGGUAACCUACCCAUCACAGGGGGAUAACACUUGGAAACAGGUGCUAAUACCGCAUAACAGUUUAUGCCGCAUGGCAUAAGAGUGAAAGGCGCUUUCGGGUGUCGCUGAUGGAUGGACCCGCGGUGCAUUAGCUAGUUGGUGAGGUAACGGCUCACCAAGGCCACGAUGCAUAGCCGACCUGAGAGGGUGAUCGGCCACACUGGGACUGAGACACGGCCCAGACUCCUACGGGAGGCAGCAGUAGGGAAUCUUCGGCAAUGGACGAAAGUCUGACCGAGCAACGCCGCGUGAGUGAAGAAGGUUUUCGGAUCGUAAAACUCUGUUGUUAGAGAAGAACAAGGACGUUAGUAACUGAACGUCCCCUGACGGUAUCUAACCAGAAAGCCACGGCUAACUACGUGCCAGCAGCCGCGGUAAUACGUAGGUGGCAAGCGUUGUCCGGAUUUAUUGGGCGUAAAGCGAGCGCAGGCGGUUUCUUAAGUCUGAUGUGAAAGCCCCCGGCUCAACCGGGGAGGGUCAUUGGAAACUGGGAGACUUGAGUGCAGAAGAGGAGAGUGGAAUUCCAUGUGUAGCGGUGAAAUGCGUAGAUAUAUGGAGGAACACCAGUGGCGAAAGGCGGGCUCUUCUGGUCUGUAAACUGACGCUGAGGCUCGAAAGCGUGGGGAGGCAAACAGGAUUAGAUACCCUGGUAGUCCACGCCGUAAACGAUGAGUGCUAAGUGUUGGAGGGUUUCCGCCCUUCAGUGCUGCAGCAAACGCAUUAAGCACUCCGCCUGGGGAGUACGACCGCAAGGUUGAAACUCAAAGGAAUUGACGGGGGCCCGCACAAGCGGAGGAGCAUGUGGUUUAAUUCGAAGCAACGCGAAGAACCUUACCAGGUCUUGACAUCCUUUGACCACUCUAGAGAUAGAGCUUUCCCUUCGGGGACAAAGUGACAGGUGGUGCAUGGUUGUCGUCAGCUCGUGUCGUGAGAUGUUGGGUUAAGUCCCGCAACGAGCGCAACCCUUAUUGUUAGUAGCCAUCAUUUAGUUGGGCACUCUAGCGAGACUGCCGGUGACAAACCGGAGGAAGGUGGGGAUGACGUCAAAUCAUCAUGCCCCUUAUGACCUGGGCUACACACGUGCUACAAUGGGAAGUACAACGAGUCGCUAGACCGCGAGGUCAUGCAAAUCUCAUAAAGCUUCUCUCAGUUCGGAUUGCAGGCUGCAACUCGCCUGCAUGAAGCCGGAAUCGCUAGUAAUCGCGGAUCA